GAAGCAUGAGUGAAAUCAAAAAGUGAAGAAGAAGCUCCUUAAUGAGUGAAUGAUUAAUGCUUAUAUAGAAUUAGGUGAGGGAUGAUUAGAGGUUUAAAAUUGAUUAGAAAUUAGUUGGGGUUGUUUUGGGCACUUUGGGCAAUUGCUCAAAGUGGUUAGAAGUUAGUUAAUGGGAGUUUAAGGUAGUUAGGAUAGUUAAAGCAUGGAUGUAUGUGAAUUUGCAUGCAUGUGCAUAUGUUGAAUUUUUAGUGAAUAUGUGGGAAAUUGAAUGAACUUACAUGAAAUCACUUGAACACAUGUUUGGGUAUUUAUAGUGUAUAAAUGAAUGACUUAUAGAUGCAUUUGGAUUGAUGUUCAUCGAUGAAAUCAUGUAUUACAUGAAUGCUGGAAAAAAAAUUAAUGCACAUGAUUUAUGAGGUUUUACUUGUUGUAUAGAAGUGAAAUGGAAGUGAUACAUAGUGUGGAAUUUAUAUUCAUGGUAUGUGCAUAACAUGCUGAGUUUUUAUUGAAUUUGACUUGUUUUUUAAUGGUUUUGUAUAUGAUGUGAAUGUAUGUGCAUGUGUUGAAUUUUAGAAGUAAAUUGUAUGAAUUUAAGAUGACUUUUCAUGUGUAUUUG
This 616-nucleotide long non-coding RNA is filed under the name Lathyrus oleraceus (garden pea). Its description in RNAcentral is "Pisum sativum (pea) long non-coding RNA (PSAT_LNC016154)". Lineage: Eukaryota; Viridiplantae; Streptophyta; Magnoliopsida; Fabales; Fabaceae. The record is from RNAcentral.